GACGAACGCUGGCGGCGUGCUUAACACAUGCAAGUCGAACGGAAAGGCCCUGCUUGCAGGGUACUCGAGUGGCGAACGGGUGAGUAACACGUGGGUGAUCUGCCCUGCACUUCGGGAUAAGCCUGGGCAACUGGGUCUAAUACCGGAUAGGAGCCAUUUUUAGCGUGAUGGUUGGAAAGUUUUUUCGGUGUAGGAUGAGCUCGCGGCCUAUCAGCUUGUUGGUGGGGUAAUGGCCUACCAAGGCGGCGACGGGUAGCCGGCCUGAGAGGGUGGACGGCCACAUUGGGACUGAGAUACGGCCCAGACUCCUACGGGAGGCAGCAGUGGGGAAUAUUGCACAAUGGGCGCAAGCCUGAUGCAGCGACGCCGCGUGGGGGAUGACGGCCUUCGGGUUGUAAACUCGUUUCGCUAGGGACGAAGCUUUUUGUGACGGUACCUAGAUAAGAAGCACCGGCUAACUACGUG
This 465-nucleotide ribosomal RNA is filed under the name uncultured bacterium. RNAcentral describes it as "partial 16S ribosomal RNA". It matches the Rfam family "Bacterial small subunit ribosomal RNA", at positions 28 to 507 of the family's 1533-position model. The record is from RNAcentral.